UCAUGCUCAAUUUAAACAUGUGCACGGUACAGGGUGGCUUGCAUACAACACUGAGCUAUUAGAGUAAUUCACAGAUUCAUGUUUUUAUUUUAAACAUGUAUGUAGAAGAGAAAGUGAAUCCUAAAGCCAUCUGUGGAUGCCACACAUGCUCCCACAUCAGUGAGAUGUCAGAACCUGAUGGGAAGCACACAACUUAUCUAACCUUGGACGGAUGGAGGUUGUCAGGCAGAGGGUCAAAUCAGCCUCUCAAUAUGUUGGAUGCAGUUUAAUGUGUAUUUAAAGACAUUUCAAUUUGUAGAAAAAAUUGGUUAGAAAAUAAAUCAAAAAUUAUAAAAAAUAUAAAAAAUUGUCUAAUCAACCAAACAUUUCACGACCCCCCCUGCAGUACCUCCGCGGACCCCCUAGGGGUCGCGGACCCCCUGUUGACGACCUCUGUCCCACUGAACCCGGAGCAGGUCAGAUGCUCAGGUUGGGUUACCAUGGUGAAGACUCUGAAGUUCUCUGAUGUCCACAAAUCCUGCUUCGUAGUUCAGGUCCAGGUCUUUCAAGACAGAUCCUGGUCCCUGAUGAAUGAACCAACAUUCUACAAUAAAAUACACACGGUAUUAAUAAUGAUCAUAAAGAAUCUGGUUUGUUUUCUUAAAUUUGAAUUUAUUAGAGAUCAAGGAAAUCACAAAUAUCAAAAUCCACAGAACUUUUGUUUACAAAUGAAACAAGAUCAGAAUCAGAGAAAAACAUGAUUUAAAAAAGUAAACAAUCACAGAUCCAAUCAGCGGACACGGUGUGUUCUGGAAUCUGAUUGGCUGUUCAAUGUACACCACAGGUGAUGAAGGUGAACAGGUGAUGAAGGUGAGAAGGUGAUGAAGGUGAUGAAGGUGAGCCGGCGAUGAAGGUGAGCCGGUGAUGAAGGUGAGCAGGUGAUGAAGGUGAACAGGUGAUGAAGGUGAACAGGUGAUGAAGGUGAGCAGGUGAUGAAGGUGAUGAAGGUGAUGAAGGUGAGCCGGUCAUGAAGGUGAGCAGGUGAUGAAGGUGAGCAGGUGAUGAAGGUGAACAGGUGAUGAAG
Platichthys flesus (European flounder) is the source of this 1063-nucleotide long non-coding RNA. RefSeq lists it as uncharacterized. NCBI's taxonomy places the organism in Eukaryota, Metazoa, Chordata, Actinopteri, Pleuronectiformes, Pleuronectidae. The record is from RefSeq and is a predicted model, not a curated record. The transcript has 3 exons.